CAGCAUGUUUCCAAGGUUCAUGGCUGUUCGUAGCCAUGGGAUCUCCAACUGCAUGCAAGAAUAGCCUGGAGAGACUUUGACAGCACAGGUCAGCAUAAUACCUGUAGCUGCCACUCAACUUUCCUAUAUUU
This 131-nucleotide small nucleolar RNA is filed under the name Erinaceus europaeus (western European hedgehog). RNAcentral's name for it is "Small nucleolar RNA SNORA44". It matches the Rfam family "Small nucleolar RNA SNORA44". Rfam says of the family: ACA44 is a member of the H/ACA class of snoRNA that guide the sites of modification of uridines to pseudouridines. The record is from Rfam by way of RNAcentral. Lineage: Eukaryota; Metazoa; Chordata; Mammalia; Eulipotyphla; Erinaceidae.